Molecule: non-coding RNA, 208 nt
Organism: Lolium perenne
Lineage: Eukaryota; Viridiplantae; Streptophyta; Magnoliopsida; Poales; Poaceae
Source: RefSeq, a predicted model, not a curated record
AUGUUAUCUUCCCUUGCUCACCAUUCCAAUUUUACUUGCAGACACUGGGCCUCCUGAGGAGCCAUACACAUGUCAGGAACUACAGCAGUCAGCUUUUAGGUCUUAUUCCAGCUGGUCCCCAAAGCUCAAAGCUGACAAGAAGGCACUAUUACUUCCCAAAUGCCUCUCCUUACCAACCCUGGAGUAGGUCAUUUGCAUCGGAUGGUGG